GCCACCUUAGCUCAGCUGGUAGAGCAACGCAUUCGUAAUGCGUGGGUCGGCGGUUCAAUUCCGCCAGGUGGCU
RNAcentral lists this transfer RNA (73 nucleotides) under Ignavibacteriales bacterium. RNAcentral describes it as "tRNA-Thr". It matches the Rfam family "tRNA". Rfam says of the family: Transfer RNA (tRNA) molecules are approximately 80 nucleotides in length. Their secondary structure includes four short double-helical elements and three loops (D, anti-codon, and T loops). Lineage: Bacteria; Pseudomonadati; Ignavibacteriota; Ignavibacteria; Ignavibacteriales. The record is from RNAcentral. RNAcentral also lists the same sequence under 1 other name.